Molecule: ribosomal RNA, 37 nt
Filed under: Amanita castanea
Lineage: Eukaryota; Fungi; Basidiomycota; Agaricomycetes; Agaricales; Amanitaceae
Description: partial 18S ribosomal RNA
Source: RNAcentral
AAGUCGUAACAAGGUUUCUCGUAGGUGACCUGCGGAA